CACAUGCAAGUCGAACGAUGAACUGGUGCUUGCACUGGGGAUUAGUGGCGAACGGGUGAGUAACACGUGAGUAACCUGCCCUUGACUCUGGGAUAAGCCUGGGAAACUGGGUCUAAUACCGGAUAUGACCUUCCAUCGCAUGGUGGUUGGUGGAAAGCUUUUGUGGUUUUGGAUGGACUCGCGGCCUAUCAGCUUGUUGGUGGGGUAAUGGCCUACCAAGGCGACGACGGGUAGCCGGCCUGAGAGGGUGACCGGCCACACUGGGACUGAGACACGGCCCAGACUCCUACGGGAGGCAGCAGUGGGGAAUAUUGCACAAUGGGCGAAAGCCUGAUGCAGCGACGCCGCGUGAGGGAUGACGGCCUUCGGGUUGUAAACCUCUUUCAGUAGGGAAGAAGCCGCGAGGUGACGGUACCUGCAGAAGAAGCGCCGGCUAACUACGUGCCAGCAGCCGCGGUAAUACGUAGGGCGCAAGCGUUAUCCGGAAUUAUUGGGCGUAAAGAGCUCGUAGGCGGUUUGUC
This 521-nucleotide ribosomal RNA is filed under the name Arthrobacter sp. CL16. RNAcentral's name for it is "bacterial SSU rRNA". It matches the Rfam family "Bacterial small subunit ribosomal RNA", at positions 52 to 584 of the family's 1533-position model. Lineage: Bacteria; Bacillati; Actinomycetota; Actinomycetes; Micrococcales; Micrococcaceae. The record is from RNAcentral.